Erinaceus europaeus (western European hedgehog) is the source of this 299-nucleotide unclassified non-coding RNA. Its record names the gene 7SK. It matches the Rfam family "7SK RNA". Rfam says of the family: 7SK was discovered as an abundant small nuclear RNA in the mid-70s but a possible function has only recently been suggested. Two independent studies have found that 7SK RNA binds the CDK9/cyclin T complex (known as elongation factor P-TEFb). NCBI's taxonomy places the organism in Eukaryota, Metazoa, Chordata, Mammalia, Eulipotyphla, Erinaceidae. The record is from Ensembl.
GGAUGUGAGGGUGAUCUGGCUGCGACAUCUGUCACCCCAUUGAUUGCCAGGGUUGAUUUGGCUGAUCUGGCUGGCUAGGCAGGUGUCCCCUUGCUCCCUCACCACUCCAUGUGUGUCCCUCUCGAAGCUGCACGCUUGGUCAAAGAGGACGGCCUUCCCCAAAUAGAGACGGACCAGUCUUCAGUCAAGGGUAUACGAGUAGCUGCGCUCCCCUGCUAGAACCUCUAAACAAGCUCUCAAGGUCCAUAUAGAUGUCCAUAAUAUUCUUGCAUAAUCUUUUGAACCUCUACCUCAUCUGU